GAUGAACGCUGGCGGUAUGCCUAACACAUGCAAGUCGUACGAGAGUUUUUAACUCUAGUGGCGGACGGGUGAGUAACACGUGAGAAUUUGCCUUUAGGAGGGGGAUAACAAUCGGAAACGAAUGCUAAUACCCCAUAUGCUUUCGAGUGAAAUGGAUUUUAUCCGCCUAAAGAGAAGCUCGCGGCUGAUUAGCUUGUUGGUAAGGUAAGAGCUUACCAAGGCGACGAUCAGUAUCUGGUUUGAGAGGACGAUCAGACACACUGGAACUGAGACACGGUCCAGACUCCUACGGGAGGCAGCAGUGGGGAAUUUUCCGCAAUGGGCGAAAGCCUGACGGAGCAAUACCGCGUGAGGGAAGACUGCCUAUGGGUUGUAAACCUCUUUUUCAGGGAGGAAUAAAAUGACGUGUACCUGAAGAAUAAGCAUCGGCUAACUCCGUG
This 440-nucleotide ribosomal RNA is filed under the name uncultured bacterium. Its description in RNAcentral is "bacterial SSU rRNA". It matches the Rfam family "Bacterial small subunit ribosomal RNA", at positions 28 to 507 of the family's 1533-position model. The record is from RNAcentral.